Molecule: ribosomal RNA, 565 nt
Filed under: uncultured Glomeromycotina
Lineage: Eukaryota; Fungi; Glomeromycota
Description: SSU rRNA
Rfam family: Eukaryotic small subunit ribosomal RNA
Source: RNAcentral
UUGGAGGGCAAGUCUGGUGCCAGCAGCCGCGGUAAUUCCAGCUCCAAUAGCGUAUAUUAAAGUUGUUGCAGUUAAAAAGCUCGUAGUUGAAUUUCGGGAUCAAUUUGCUGGUCGUGCCUUUGGUACGCACUGGUAUUAUUGGUUUCUCCUUUCUGAAGAAUCGCGAUGUCAUUAAUUUGGUGUCGCGAGGAAUCAGGACUGUUACUUUGAAAAAAUUAGAGUGUUUAAAGCAGGCUCACGCUUGAAUACAUUAGCAUGGAAUAAUGAAAUAGGACGUUUGAUUCUAUUUUGUUGGUUUCUAGGAUCGACGUAAUGAUUAAUAGGGAUAGUUGGGGGCAUUAGUAUUCAAUUGUCAGAGGUGAAAUUCUUGGAUUUAUUGAAGACUAACUACUGCGAAAGCAUUUGCCAAGGAUGUUUUCAUUAAUCAAGAGCGAAAGUUAGGGGAUCGAAGACGAUCAGAUACCGUCGUAGUCUUAACCAUAAACUAUGCCGACUAGGGAUCGGAUGAUGUUGAUUUUUUAAUGACUCAUUCGGCGCCUUACGGGAAACCAAAGUGUUUGGGUUC